CGUGAGGGGCAAACGUUGUUCGGUGUCACUGGGCUUAAAGGGCGCGUAGGUGGCUAUGUAAGUAAGGUGUGAAAGCCCUCGGCUUACCCGGGGAAUUGCGCCUUAAACUACAUAGCUUGAGGGUCAGAGAGGUUGGAGGAACUCCAGGUGUAGCGGUGAAAUGCGUAGAUAUCUGGGGGAAGGCCGGCGGCGAAGGCGUCCAACUGGCUGAUUCCUGACACUGAGGCACGAAAGCGUGGGGAGCAAACAGGAUUAGAUACCCUGGUAGUCCACGCCCUAAACGAUGGAUACUAAGUGAGGGACCUUCCAAGUGUUCCUUGCCGUAGCGAAAGCGUUAAGUAUCCCGCCUGGGGAGUAUGGUCGCAAGGCUG
RNAcentral lists this ribosomal RNA (371 nucleotides) under uncultured organism. RNAcentral describes it as "bacterial SSU rRNA". It matches the Rfam family "Bacterial small subunit ribosomal RNA", at positions 526 to 896 of the family's 1533-position model. The record is from RNAcentral.